GUUGGUCCAAUUCCAACAAAGCGUGUUCGCUCUGUUGCAUCUAGGCAUAGGUUUACAAGUCCUUUUAAUGCUGGAGUGCAGACUCCAGUGAAGACAGAUGCUUCAAGUGGAGAUACUAGUUCUUUUCAGGAUGACCAGAGUACCUUGAAUGGAUCCCAAAUCCAGAAGAGUGUGGAGGUUGAGUCAGUUGGGGACUUCGAAAAGCAGUUACCGUAUGACUGUGCAGAGACAUCAACAAAACCAAAAAAGAAGAAGA
RNAcentral lists this unclassified non-coding RNA (256 nucleotides) under Hevea brasiliensis (rubber tree). Lineage: Eukaryota; Viridiplantae; Streptophyta; Magnoliopsida; Malpighiales; Euphorbiaceae. The record is from RNAcentral.